GUUAAAAUGUUCUAUUUGCGAAUAUAAUGCAUGGAUCAGUGAUCUGCUACAUCACAGUGUAAAUACAGAAUCAAAGGUUGAUUAGAUGAAACUAGAACAGACUGUCAGUAUAUUUGCUGCUCCUCCCUCAUGAUGUCCUGAUGCAAAUCUCCAGUCUGUCCAGUGUACUUCUGUCCUGCUGACUGAUCUUGUUCUUUGUGUGGAGCAUCAGAGGUCACAUCUCCACACUCAGGAUGAUCAACACACUCACUCUGCUGCUGGUUGCUCUCUCUCUGUCCUGUUGUACAGGUCAGAGGAUGGAGUCUAUUCCUUCCAGUUCAGUGGUGAAACGUCCUGGAGAGACUCUCAGUCUGUCCUGCAGAGGAUCUGGAUUCACAUUCAGUAGCUAUGGGAUGCGCUGGAUCAGACAACCUGCAGGAAAAGGACUGGAAUGGAUCGGGGCUAUUUGGAGCGAUGCAAGUGGAACUGCUUAUUCCAGCAGUGUUCAAGGACGGAUAGAAAUCACCAAAGACAACAGCAACAGCAUGACGUAUCUGAGACUGUCCAACUUACAGUCAGAGGACUCUGCAGUUUAUUACUGUGCAAGAGACACACAGUGCUCUGUGUUAAUGAAGAGGCUGUACAAAAACUCCACAGAAAAUGUUCCUCCAAAGACCUCAGGGUGGCAGUGGAGGAUGUGAAAUGAAUGAAACUAACUGAGCAGUGUGUGACAUGAAAACUAUGAAAACAACAACUUUCAGCAGACGAUAGUAAUAGCAGGUCUGAAAUCAUGAGAAUACUGAUAUUUAUGCAGAAAGUGCAUGAACUGUAAAGCAAAGUUUGCUGGGUUCAAGAAAAAAAUCAAUUUUAGGUGUAAAGUUUGAAAGAAAAAGAACAUCAUUCUACAAA
This is a non-coding RNA of Acanthochromis polyacanthus (spiny chromis), 888 nucleotides long. The record is from the annotation of a RefSeq genome assembly. Lineage: Eukaryota; Metazoa; Chordata; Actinopteri; Pomacentridae.